RNAcentral lists this ribosomal RNA (433 nucleotides) under uncultured bacterium. RNAcentral describes it as "partial 16S ribosomal RNA". It matches the Rfam family "Bacterial small subunit ribosomal RNA", at positions 29 to 507 of the family's 1533-position model. The record is from RNAcentral.
AACGAACGCUGGCGGCAGGCUUAACACAUGCAAGUCGAACGCACCUUUCGGGGUGAGUGGCAGACGGGUGAGUAACGCGUGGGAAUCUACCCUUCUCUACGGGAUAGCUCCGGGAAACUGGAAUUAAUACCGUAUACGUCCUGAGGGAGAAAGAUUUAUCGGGGAAGGAUGAGCCCGCGUUGGAUUAGCUAGUUGGUGGGGUAAAGGCCUACCAAGGCGACGAUCCAUAGCUGGUCUAAGAGGAUGAUCAGCCACAUUGGGACUGAGACACGGCCCAAACUCCUACGGGAGGCGGCAGUGGGGAAUAUUGGACAAUGGGCGCAAGCCUGAUACAGCCAUGCCGCGUGAGUGAUGAAGGCCCUAGGGUUGUAAAGCUCUUUCAGUGGGGACGAUAAUGACGGUACCCACAGAAGAAGCCCCGGCUAACUUCGUG